AUUGAACGCUGGCGGCAGGCCUAACACAUGCAAGUCGAGCGGAUGAAGGGAGCUUGCUCCUGGAUUCAGCGGCGGACGGGUGAGUAAUGCCUAGGAAUCUGCCUGGUAGUGGGGGAUAACGUCCGGAAACGGGCGCUAAUACCGCAUACGUCCUGAGGGAGAAAGUGGGGGAUCUUCGGACCUCACGCUAUCAGAUGAGCCUAGGUCGGAUUAGCUAGUUGGUGGGGUAAAGGCCUACCAAGGCGACGAUCCGUAACUGGUCUGAGAGGAUGAUCAGUCACACUGGAACUGAGACACGGUCCAGACUCCUACGGGAGGCAGCAGUGGGGAAUAUUGGACAAUGGGCGAAAGCCUGAUCCAGCCAUGCCGCGGGUGUGAAGAAGGUCUUCGGAUUGUAAAGCACUUUAAGUUGGGAGGAAGGGCAGUAAGUUAAUACCUUGCUGUUUUGACGUGACCAACAGAAUAAGCACCGGCGAACUUCGU
Molecule: ribosomal RNA, 483 nt
Filed under: uncultured bacterium
Lineage: Bacteria
Description: partial 16S ribosomal RNA
Rfam family: Bacterial small subunit ribosomal RNA
Source: RNAcentral